AUUGAACGCUGGCGGCAGGCCUAACACAUGCAAGUCGAACGCGUGGCGGACGGGUGAGUAAGGUCUGGGAAACUGCCUGAUGAAGGGGGAUAACUACGGGAAACGGUAGAUAAUACCGCAUAACAUUAGAUGGGGCCAGGUGGGCUUAGCUAGUUGGGGGGGUAACGGCUCACCAAGGCGACGAUCCCUAGCUGGUCUGAGAGGAUGACCAGCCACACUGGAACUGAGACACGGUCCAGACUCCUACGGGAGGGAGCAGUGGGGAAUAUUGGACAAUGGGCGCAAUCCUGAUGGAGCCAUGCCGCGGGAAUGAAGAAGGCCUUCGGGUUGUAAAGUUCUGUCGGUAGUGAGGCGUUAUCCACCGAAGAAGCACCGGCUAACUCCGUGCCAGCAGCCGCGGUAAUAC
RNAcentral lists this ribosomal RNA (406 nucleotides) under uncultured bacterium. RNAcentral's name for it is "partial 16S ribosomal RNA". It matches the Rfam family "Bacterial small subunit ribosomal RNA", at positions 29 to 526 of the family's 1533-position model. The record is from RNAcentral.